AGUGGAAGCAAAGGGAUCUUGCUGGAGGUCCCUGCAUAUCUGAGGCUUUCUAAAGGUAAGCAGCUUCUUUAUUUCUGUGCAAAUCCUCACUUCCUGUAGCCUCAGACCUUGCUGCUCAGCUGUCAUUGCUGUGCUUUCUAUCACAUUACAUAGGCUUCUUGACUAAUUUACCUGCUGAAGGGAAGAAGACCAAAAAUUGCAGAAAGGCUGGGGUUAGUGCCAUAUUCUAACUGUACAAAGCCCACAUAUGACCAAUUCUAGUUUGGAAGUAUAGAAUGAAACUCUGGCCCAGCAAUAUCCAGUAGGAUAAACCACUGCAGCAGUGCAAAGUGUCCCAGUUUCAUGAGGCUGUGUAAGGAAUUGGUCAUGGAAUCAGGCAGACGACUGCUUUAUGAGCUUUUAUUGUUACUGAAGUGGCGAUGUUCUUCCCCUGCUGAAGUGAGAGCUGUUGUAGUUCUGCCUGGGAGAUGUCAAGGAUGUAGCAGAAGGGUCAUCUUUGCAUUAACCUACAUCCAAACAGACCUAAGUGAAACAGACAGCUGGGAACUCUGCAAAUAUAUGGAAGCACUGGGACACCACAGAAUUUGGGCUCAAGGCAUUAUUUGUUACUGGUGAAAUUACAGAGAAUGCCCAGUGUGGGUGGACUGGGGUGUAAAGUCUUCAUACAAAUUUCUAUCUUCCUUGCUGCUCUUAUGAUACCUGCCAACUGUGAUCUUAAUGUUGCCUUGCGGUUUUUAACUGUAGCCCCCUGUGAUGUGUAGCAGCUAUAAACCGCAUCACUGGCCACACAUCCCCACAGAGAGGUUGUGCCUUCAGUGUAUAACUUGAGCUCAGGGAAUGCUAUGCUUUGCUUUGUGAUGUGCCACAACCUGAAGUCUCUGCUUUUCCCAGUUUCUCUGUGUUACAUGUGAUGUAGUAGCAUAAUGUUCAGCUCCAUUCAUUCUCUUUUCUGAUGAUUCUUUUUGAAGUUGGCCUGACUUUGACAGAGCAAAUCUGGAACAUAUAGGGAAAGCUGUGAUAUGCCUUCUGCACUUCAACUUGUGGAUUGAUUCAUGUUGAGAUUCUAAAGAUUUUAAAAUUUAAAAUCAAAUUAAGGAAUAUGUGGUGCUUGGCAGUGAUACAUAGGGCUUGAAGAAUACAUUCAGUUGUGUUUAACUGCUAGACAAAUUUUCAGUUUUUGAUUUAAUGUCUAGAGCAUUGACAGGAAGAUUUGGCCCAGUACUUCCCCAUUUAGCUGUGCUAUUAGGCUACCAGACAGCAAUGAAAAACAGCAGGUAUUACCAUGUUAGUGGAAGGCAUCCUACAGCAGGAUUUGUUCUAGGAUGAAGCUGAACAAUGAAGAAGUAACAAUUUCUUGCCUGACUGAAAACUGCUGGUUAAAUUGGACUUAGCAGAAUGCAAAAAUCUCAUUCAUUUCUUGGGAGUAGAUGUCAAACUGUGUUCUUCUGACUGCAAGAAUCCCCAUGUUACUUAGCACUCAGCACAUGCAACAUUUUCCAUGGAAAAAUUUCUAACUUGCAGUGUAGGCAUGGCUUUAAAUGCUCUGACUGUCCAGAGAACAGUACCCUCUGAAGCUAUGAGUGAGACUCAUUUCUGUGUUGUUCAUCUUUCAUUA
Coturnix japonica (Japanese quail) is the source of this 1615-nucleotide long non-coding RNA. The record is from Ensembl. NCBI's taxonomy places the organism in Eukaryota, Metazoa, Chordata, Aves, Galliformes, Phasianidae.